AUGUUGUUCAUGGCCACCAUUAUGCAGCUAGAGAUUGAAGUUGGCCCGGUUAAUAAUGUUUUCAAAUUUGAUGUGGAACCACGUUCCGACGACAAGUGCUACAUCGCGAUGCGUGUGGUCAGGAGUCUCAAAAAUAACAAUUAUUGUUCUGCAUUUGAUGUCAAUAGAGAUAUCUACAUCAGCUUACCAAAAUUGGAUCAUGUUGAGAAGCUAUGCAAGAAGAAACAUGAUAUUUUUGGCUUGAAGUACGUGAGUUUCCAGCGAGUGCAAGAGGUAAUGCAGUUGCCAGAGAAUGGGGAUGUUGCAAUUACAACGUAUAUCACUCCACUUGACGAUUUGAGUGAGGAUGAUGAUGUGACCUCCCCAUUAAAGAGAUCAAGGCAAGAGUAG
RNAcentral lists this ribosomal RNA (390 nucleotides) under Triticum aestivum (bread wheat). Its description in RNAcentral is "partial small subunit ribosomal RNA". The record is from RNAcentral. Lineage: Eukaryota; Viridiplantae; Streptophyta; Magnoliopsida; Poales; Poaceae.